GGGGGGUUUUUAAAGGGAAAAAAGGGGUGACCCCCUUUUUUUAAAAAACCCCCAAAAAAAAAAAGGGUUAAAUUUGGGGGGGGGGGGCCCCCCCCCCCCAAAUCCCCGGGGGGCCCCAAAAAGG
Small nucleolar RNA from Pecten maximus, 124 nucleotides. RefSeq annotates it as small nucleolar RNA SNORA11. NCBI's taxonomy places the organism in Eukaryota, Metazoa, Mollusca, Bivalvia, Pectinida, Pectinidae. The transcript has a single exon. The record is from RefSeq and is a predicted model, not a curated record.